GCCAGGAGAGGAUUUUACUUUUUUUGCAGAGUCUUGCUUUCCUUUCUCUUCCAAGGAAGCUGGGGAAGGAAAAGCAAGCAGAGAAGUGGUUGUUAACUCACUCACCUGUUUGGGAGGGGCUGGAGGAGGAGGGAGAGAGCAGGUGUGUGGUGGAGAGACACAAGAUGGCGGAGGCGAGGAAGGGUCACAGAUGGCGGAAGUGAAGAAACACGAGGAGAUGGAACAGCUGGCCAGGGAUGGCCUGGAUCCUGCCAUGUAAAUCAAAGAAGAGAGGGUCUGACUCAGCCGCCUAGCCUGGGUCACCUGGAACCCAUUAUGAUACAGAAUCAUAAACACCUCCAUUUUCCCUUCAGAGAGAGACCAGAACCACUGAAGUUAAGCUACCUGCAUAAGAGUUGAGUGUGAUCAGCUGUACUUAAUCUUUAAAUGUCCAACCCACUGAUAACCUUUGGUUUGCUUUGAUAACUAUGAAAUAAAUUCUCACUGCAUUGGAUACUGGCAUUCUGGUUUCUAUUCAAGGCUGGGGUGCAGAUGUCAUGGAAUCUUGGACUGGACAGCAAUCCUUGGAGAUCUCUGGGGCCAGUUACUGGCUUUCAGGUACUUAAUUUCUAAGCCUCCCUCCGCUGACCCUAAAUUUCUUUAGGGAAUGACAUGGCGUUUGUGCAUUAUCAAGCUUUAGGUAUUCUGUGGGAAGAAAACCAUGUGGAGGUGAGGGAAGCA
This 720-nucleotide long non-coding RNA is filed under the name Fukomys damarensis (Damara mole-rat). RNAcentral describes it as "lncRNA (ENSFDAG00000030535.1)". Lineage: Eukaryota; Metazoa; Chordata; Mammalia; Rodentia; Bathyergidae. The record is from RNAcentral.